AUUGAACGCUGGCGGCAGGCUUAACACAUGCAAGUCGAGCGGGGAAAGGUAGCUUGCUACCUGACCUAGCGGCGGACGGGUGAGUAAUGCUUAGGAAUCUGCCUAUUAGUGGGGGACAACAUCUCGAAAGGGAUGCUAAUACCGCAUACGUCCUACGGGAGAAAGCAGGGGACCUUCGGGCCUUGCGCUAAUAGAUGAGCCUAAGUCGGAUUAGCUAGUUGGUGGGGUAAAGGCCUACCAAGGCGACGAUCUGUAGCGGGUCUGAGAGGAUGAUCCGCCACACUGGGACUGAGACACGGCCCAGACUCCUACGGGGGGCAGCAGUGGGGAAUAUUGGACAAUGGGGGGAACCCUGAUCCAGCCAUGCCGCGUGUGUGAAGAAGGCCUUUUGGUUGUAAAGCACUUUAAGCGAGGAGGAGGCUACCGAGAUUAAUACUCUUGGAUAGUGGACGUUACUCGCAGAAUAAGCACCGGCUAACUCUGUG
RNAcentral lists this ribosomal RNA (485 nucleotides) under uncultured bacterium. Its description in RNAcentral is "partial 16S ribosomal RNA". It matches the Rfam family "Bacterial small subunit ribosomal RNA", at positions 30 to 507 of the family's 1533-position model. The record is from RNAcentral.